AUUGAACGCUGGCGGCAGGCCUAACACAUGCAAGUCGAGCGGAUGAAAGGGGCUUGCUCCUGGAUUCAGCGGCGGACGGGUGAGUAAUGCGCAGGAAUCUACCUCGUAGUGGGGGAUAACGUCUCGAAAGGGGCGCUAAUACCGCAUACGUUCUGAGGAAGAAAGCAGGGGACCUUCGGGCCUUGCGCUAUGAGAUGAGCUUGCGUCCGAUUAGCUAGUUGGUGGGGUAAAGGCCUACCAAGGCGACGAUCGGUAACUGGUCUGAGAGGAUGAUCAGUCACACUGGAACUGAGACACGGUCCAGACUCCUACGGGAGGCAGCAGUGGGGAAUAUUGGACAAUGGGGGGCAACCCUGAUCCAGCCAUGCCGCGUGUGUGAAGAAGGCCU
This 388-nucleotide ribosomal RNA is filed under the name uncultured bacterium. RNAcentral's name for it is "bacterial SSU rRNA". It matches the Rfam family "Bacterial small subunit ribosomal RNA", at positions 30 to 417 of the family's 1533-position model. The record is from RNAcentral.